CCUACGGGUGGCAGCAGUGGGGAAUAUUGCACAAUGGGGGAAACCCUGAUGCAGCGACGCCGCGUGAGUGACGAAGUAAUUCGUUAUGUAAAGCUCUAUCAGCAGGGAAGAAAAUGACGGUACCUGAGUCAGAAGCACCGGCUAACUACGUGCCAGCAGCCGCGGUAAUACGUAGGCGGCAAGCGUUAUCCGGAUUUACUGGGGGUAAAGGGAGCGUAGACGGCAGUGAAAGUCUGGAGUGAAAGGCGGGGGCUCAACCCCCGGACUGCUCUGGAAACUGUACGGCUGGAGUGCAGGAGAGGUAAGUGGAAGUCCUAGGGUAGCGGUGAAAGGCGUAGAUAUUAGGAGGAACACCAGUGGCGAAGGCGGCUUACUGGACUGUAACUGACGUUGAGGCUCGAAAGCGUGGGGAGCAAACAGGAUUAGAUACCCGUGUAGU
Molecule: ribosomal RNA, 439 nt
Filed under: uncultured bacterium
Lineage: Bacteria
Description: partial 16S ribosomal RNA
Rfam family: Bacterial small subunit ribosomal RNA
Source: RNAcentral